CUGAAUUGGCCGGUCUGCGACAACAAAAAACACAGAGAAGUGAUUCCUGGCAAUGUGUUGCCGGUGCAAACAUUAGAGCAACUAAACAAUGGAUAUGGCUACAAAAAUUAUGAUUCCACUACUUGUCGAGGGCACCAACUUGCAACAAUGAGAAAGUCAUGGUCCGCUUGAAGUCUGUAGCUUCAUAUUGGUUGUUCCCCAAGCUAAUUCACCCUUCAAACUGCCUGAGUCAAAUCAAUAAAAUCUUCGGUCCAUUGUGAGUAUGCAAUACAAUCAGAAAUAAUUGAAUAUAUUCUCUUACAAUAACAAACAAAAAUCACUCAGAAAAGUUUCAAGGUUUGGUAAAUUUCUAUGAAUUCCGAUUAGUUCAACAACCAAACAUGACAAUCAUCCAAAAGAGAUGUAAGCUUUGGAAAAGUAUUGCCGGUUCAGCACAGAGGAACACACCAGCAUGAUGCUACCAUCUUGUCCAUCCAUUGAAGCUUCUAUUCACAACAAUAAUAGAUGUGGCAUCACAGUAGAUACACCCUACAACCAGCACACACAGAAAAAAUCAC
Molecule: long non-coding RNA, 557 nt
Filed under: Triticum aestivum (bread wheat)
Lineage: Eukaryota; Viridiplantae; Streptophyta; Magnoliopsida; Poales; Poaceae
Description: long non-coding RNA (TAES_LNC013785)
Source: RNAcentral